CCUACGGGGGACAGCAGUGGGGGAUAUUGGACAAUGGGGGAAAGCCUGAUCCAGCGACGCCGCGUGAGGGAAGAAGGAUUUCGGUAUGUAAAGCUCUAUUAGCAGGGAAGAAAGAAAUGACGGUACCUGAGGAAUAAGCGUCGGCUAACUACGUGCCAGCAGCCGCGGUAAUCCGGAGGGGGCAAGCGUACUCAGGAUUUACUGGGUGUAAAGGGGGCGUAGGCGGGAAUGCAAGUCUGGAGUGAAAGGCGGGGGCCCAACCCCCGGACUGCUGUUGAAACUGGCUAUCUGGAGUGCAGGAGAGGCAGGCGGAAUUCGUGGUGUAGCGGUGAAAUGCAUAGAUAUUGGGAGGAACACCGGUGGCGAAGGCAGCCUGCUGGACUGAAACUGACGCUGAGGCUCGAAAGCGUGGGGAGCGAACAGGAUUAGAUACCCGGGUAGUC
Molecule: ribosomal RNA, 443 nt
Filed under: uncultured bacterium
Lineage: Bacteria
Description: partial 16S ribosomal RNA
Rfam family: Bacterial small subunit ribosomal RNA
Source: RNAcentral